Molecule: ribosomal RNA, 253 nt
Filed under: uncultured bacterium
Lineage: Bacteria
Description: partial 16S ribosomal RNA
Rfam family: Bacterial small subunit ribosomal RNA
Source: RNAcentral
UACGUAGGGCGCAAGCGUUGUCCGGAAUCAUUGGGCGUAGAGAGCUCGUAGGCGGCCUGUCGCGUCCGCUGUGAAAUCCCGGGGCUUAACCCCGGGCGUGCAGUGGAUACGGGCUGGCUGGAGGCAGGCAGGGGAGAACGGAAUUCCUGGUGUAGCGGUGAAAUGCGCAGAUAUCAGGAGGAACACCGGUGGCGAAGGCGGUUCUCUGGGCCUGUACUGACGCUGAGGAGCGAAAGCGUGGGGAGCGAACAGG